AAAUACAGCUGAGAGCCUCUGUUGACAGAUGGAUGCCUUCUUAAUCACAGCCUGUGUGGGUAAAGGGAAAGCCUUGCCUGGCCAACCCCUCCCACUCCCACCCCCACCUCCUGCAUUGAUUCACAAACCUGGACUGCUCUGGAGGAGGCUGGGAAAGUCCAUCCCCAGGGAAUACCACUUUUUUCCUCUUCUGUGCCUCUCACAGGACACCCACAUGACUAGGAGGAGGCAGAAAGUGAAUAGGGAGCUCUUAUUACUUUUUGAGUGUCAGCAAGUUAAGACAUCAUCUCCAGAAAACUGUGCUAGUUGGCAUCCAGCAGUGCCCAAGUAUUAUUUAACCCACUAGAACCUGUGACUGCAUCAGCUUUAUAUCCUGGACCUCAGCCUGGAACAAAGGAGAGCUACACUUGGAUACUAAACACAAGUGGUCUGGAUAGAUUAUGCUGGGAAAAGAAGCCUGGAGCAGGCAGUACAGUGGGAGAACAAGGAGAGAAUGGAGUUGCAGCAGACUGCUCAGGAAUUGUACAUCACCAGUAGCUUCUGUCUCAGCUAAGUGUGGGAGACUGAUACUGAUGAGCCAUUAACAAUGGUGGAGAUUCUGAAUCACUGAAGCACUUGAUAAAAGAAAUGUCGUGGGUGAUGUGAAAAUCUACAUAUGCCCAUGAGAGUAUAUUGAGUUUACAGAAGUGCUUGCCUUGGUGAUCCAAAAAAGGCAGGAUCCGGCCGGGGGCAAGGUGAUUAUUCUGUCUGAUGAGGAGAAUAAGAGCCAGUUUGUGGUAUUGACAGAAGAAUGAAAGUAAAGAUGUAUAAGGAGACCAUUUUAUUCUCAAGUAAUAAAGUUAAUGAAUCUGAUUUCAAAUAAUAUCUUUAAAAUGAAAAUGCUCAUAGAAGGAGUUAGGAAAGUUCAAUCAAAAUUGUCAAUAAGAGAAGAUUUCUACUUCUGAGAAGAUGGAGUAGACAUACAUCUACAAAACGGAUAGACCUUAAAAGAGAAAUAGACAAGACUACAAUUAUACUUCAAGGUUUCAACAUCCCUUUCUCAGCAACUGACAGAACUGAACAAAAAUUCAGCAAGGAUAUAGAAGAAUCAACAACACCAUCAAUCCACAGACUCAAAUGAACAUUUGUAGAAUACUGCCCCCCCAACAGCAGAUUACACAUUCUUUUCAAGCACUCAGGGAAUAUAUAUCAAUAUAGACUGUAUCCUAGGCAAUAAAACAAAAGACAACACAUUUAUAAUAAUUGAAAUUACAUAAAGUGUAUCCUCUGAUCACAAUGGAAUCAACCUGGAUACCAGCAGCAAAAA
This 1306-nucleotide long non-coding RNA is filed under the name Homo sapiens (human). Its description in RNAcentral is "long intergenic non-protein coding RNA 1013". Lineage: Eukaryota; Metazoa; Chordata; Mammalia; Primates; Hominidae. The record is from RNAcentral.